UUAAUGUCUCUUGUUUUGAAAAUUUGAACAUAAUUUAAUGUUAAUACAUCAAUUAGAAAAGUAAACUUUUGUCUUACUAAUGUCACUUUCGAAAUUAAUAGUUAUUUUUUUUUAGUUUUGUUUCUACACAUUUUGAAAAAAGAGUUCUAUAUACUUUUAAGAUCAAUGGUUUUGAAGUUUAUUCUUUUGGUAGUAAUGUAAAAAAUCACGUCUAUGGUUGACAUUAUUGGAUAACUUAGUAGAUUA
This 246-nucleotide long non-coding RNA is filed under the name Lathyrus oleraceus (garden pea). Its description in RNAcentral is "Pisum sativum (pea) long non-coding RNA (PSAT_LNC016122)". The record is from RNAcentral. Lineage: Eukaryota; Viridiplantae; Streptophyta; Magnoliopsida; Fabales; Fabaceae.